UAGCCAUAUAGCCUAUUGUUGGAC
RNAcentral lists this non-coding RNA (24 nucleotides) under Arabidopsis thaliana (thale cress). Lineage: Eukaryota; Viridiplantae; Streptophyta; Magnoliopsida; Brassicales; Brassicaceae. The record is from RNAcentral.